CAGUCGUGCUGGCGCGAAAUCAACCCUCUCGUCGGGAGACCACAUGUUGUGACGAGCCUCAAAACCGCCACGGCGUGUGAUAUCAAGAUGAGGGGGAGCACUUUCGUGUCCGCUGGUUAACAUCAAUUUCGAACGUCAUAAAAAGGCUGGAGGGAUGUGGCUCCCUCGGGAGUGUUAUAACCUUUAGCGGAAUGUGGUGAUCGGGAUUGGAGGAUUGCAACGAAUACCUUAGGGCUGUUCCACCUGGCUUCUCUUGGUAUCCUGGUGACGACAGCCUGCUGACUUCG
RNAcentral lists this ribosomal RNA (287 nucleotides) under Entrophospora claroidea. Lineage: Eukaryota; Fungi; Glomeromycota; Glomeromycetes; Entrophosporales; Entrophosporaceae. The record is from RNAcentral.